Non-coding RNA from Pelobates cultripes (western spadefoot toad), 96 nucleotides. Lineage: Eukaryota; Metazoa; Chordata; Amphibia; Anura; Pelobatidae. The record is from the annotation of a GenBank genome assembly.
UUUGUAUACAUAAGAGUGUGGGUGUGUAUUGGCAAGUGUAUGUAAUAUAUAUAUAUAUUACAUACACUUGCCAAUACACACCCAUUGUUGAAGUUG